GGCAGUCUCGGGGUCUACCAGAAAGAGGUAACGGAGGGGGAACACAAUAAAUAACAGAGCAAUCAAAGUAUAACAUGGCAAUGCGCGGUGCUAGAGGUGACCUAACGCGGUAGUAAGUGAUACUGGUGAAGGGGGAAAACAUCCGGGAAAGUAUCCCCGGUGUUUCGCGUUUUCGGACAGAUGAACCGGAGGGGGAAAGUUGUGUGUUUGCUAUGCUAGGGAUGUGUGGCGGAUGAACGGGCUGCGCAUCCGGAUUCGUCUCGUCGUUCUGAGCAACUUUCAUGUACAACGUUUUUCCAUCCGAGCUAUGGUUUAUUUUAUAUUAAUUUUAAAAGGUUUAAAUCAUUUUUUAGCUUUUAUUUAAUUAUUUUAAUCCAACAUUAUCCAGAAUAGUGCACGCUGACGUCAGCAUGACGUCAGCAGUCAACAGAGGCGUUGACUGGCCAAAUGACAUGCGGGUCCCGUUCGUCAUUGACUGUUUAGUCUAAUUAGGGUUUAACUAGUCUAAUUACUGUUUAAUUAAACUAACUAGUUAAUUAGAUUAAUUAAAUAGUAUUAAUUAACUUAAUUAAUUAAUUAAUUUAAUUACUAUUUAUUUAUUUUUUUAUAUUUAUUUUUUUACUGUUCCAGGGGCUGGGCCCCACUUGCAAGUGGCCUAGAGGCCACCCAUGGCGGGCGCGUCGAACGGGCGGGCGAACCCGCCCGAACGGGCACGGGCGAAGGGGCACGCCAGGGCGCCGGUGCCGGACGCCGGAGAUGGCCGCGGGGUGCGCGGCCGACGGCUAUGGCCGGCCGGAGCGGGCGCGGCGGGGCGAGGGGACAGGGCGGCUCCGGCAGCGGUGGGCGGCAGGGUCAGCGAGCGGAGACCGCGGUCGGGCUCCAGCAGCGCGGCGGCAGUAGACGAGCGGGGCGGCGCGGCGAGGCAAGUGGGGCGAGCUGUGCGGCGGCCCUGACGAGCAGCAGCACCAGGGCGCACGAUAGCGGGCGCAUGCGCAGCAGCAGCAGUCGAGGCCAAGGCCUACAGGCGGGCACGCGCGGAGGCGCGGUCGUACGCGGACCGAGGGGAGGUGCGGCGAGCACGGCGACUACGGCGACGAUUCGUCGUGGAAAAUAGAGGGAUGGGGGGGACAGCGACUCACAGCGCACUCGACGACGGCGUAGCAGGCUCGGGGUUGCGCUCGUGGUGGCGAUUCGUCGACGACGAGGUAGAAGCGACGGCCGACGAUGGGGAUCGACGAUUGCGACGGCGUGAGGGCGUCCCUGCUCGCGCGACUUGCCGUAGACGAAGAGGGUGAAGGUGCGCGUCUCCUGGACCUGCUGGAUAGGCGAGGGGAGGCCGGUGUCCGCGCCAACGUCGACGGCGCAGCCAU
RNAcentral lists this long non-coding RNA (1370 nucleotides) under Triticum aestivum (bread wheat). RNAcentral's name for it is "long non-coding RNA (TAES_LNC004731)". Lineage: Eukaryota; Viridiplantae; Streptophyta; Magnoliopsida; Poales; Poaceae. The record is from RNAcentral.